CCAGUCAGCCUCCGUCCAUCAUCCCAGCAAAUUUCGUUUCGUAAAACACCCCGAAAAAAAAACCUUCAGAUGAUGGUUUGAAUGUCUCGGAAUACCCCAGCCCCGUAUUUCCACUACCCUGUUUCUUAUUUCCAAGGUAUAUCUCCAAAGACCCAUGUGAAAAUGACGAACAUCCCAUUGGCUCGCGAUGUCCGCAUCUCUGCGCAGCUUUGCAUGGAGUUAAUGUGCGAAGAAGUUGACACGAUCUGAUAUUGUCAGUGACUUAACUCUUCACCUACGACGCUUAAAACUAUGGCCAAACAGGACAUGCCCUAAACAUGGAAUAUGCCUUCGAGAUAUCCUGUUCUUUGACUUGACUAUUAUCCGAAUUACAUGUAACUAUUUGAGUUGACGGUCGUAACUGAGGAAAUUCGUGGAAGGCAUACAUACUCUCGACAAGCCCAAUUCCUUCCUCCCAUCUCCACUUUUGAAGUGGAAAAGAUGCGGGAGAAAUAUCACAGCCCUUCUCCCUCAACCCGCCUCUCCGGCAGCUAGCUAUGCUGAUUGAGAAAGAAAACCAAAUCCAAGAUCCAAAAAUGGAAACACUAGAUUGAUAUAUUUUCCGGGGUCCCCCAGAAAUUAAAAUGAAAAGAGUAACAAUGCCACCGCAUUGCCUCCCGCUCCCCAUUGUUCGAUCAGUCAUGGUCCCGAUCUUAAAAUACUAGUUAGUAGUGUUCCCCAUUGAACCAUCUGUGAAGACCGUCCGCUCUCUUAGUUAGUGGUAGCGUACCCCUCACAUCCUCUCAACAACUCUUCACAAACCAGGGUGGCGAUAAAGCACGGACAGUUCAAUGUUAUCAUUGGAUUGUUGGGCGGAUUUUUGUCCGAUUCGUGUUCCAUGACACGGGUGCAGUAUAUACAUCUGCACAUCCGAUCUACUGCGAAUAAUCAAUCGGUGGGCGGCGAUUAAACCAAAAUCAAAUCAAGGAUGGGAGAUAAGUUUACAUUUAUGAUCGUUGGGAAAAAUCGCGAUUGUAUAUAUAUAUAUAUAUAUAUCGGAAAACGGAAUAUAAAACCGUCGUGUAAUGCUACUUUCUCUUUCAUAUAAUCUUCAAACUGAAAGCGUUAAAAAUAAUGUC
RNAcentral lists this small RNA (1118 nucleotides) under Histoplasma capsulatum. RNAcentral describes it as "hypothetical RNA". RNAcentral also lists the same sequence under 1 other name. Lineage: Eukaryota; Fungi; Ascomycota; Eurotiomycetes; Onygenales; Ajellomycetaceae. The record is from RNAcentral.